Molecule: long non-coding RNA, 954 nt
Filed under: Olea europaea subsp. europaea
Lineage: Eukaryota; Viridiplantae; Streptophyta; Magnoliopsida; Lamiales; Oleaceae
Source: RNAcentral
GACUAACCUUCCCAUUCUUUGAUAUUGAUAUUCUUUACUAUGAGGUCCUUUCUUCAAAACCUCACACAUAUUUUAUCCACAUUAGUUCACAAAAAAGGGAAAAAAGAAAAAGAAAAAAAGAUCAGCCACACAAAAUCGUUCAUAAACUGCUUAUAGCAGCUGCGCAGGUCAACAACGGUGUUCCAUCCCAAAUAUUUAGUGCAAUUUUCGAUUCUUUACCAUUUGCAAAUGAGUUCAACUACGUCUCUCAAUUUUGCCUUCAUCUCUUGACGAAAUUCUGCACAUUCUUCCAGCAGCCCCCACCAUUCUAGUUGCCUGUAUUGACUAACCUUCCCAUUCUUUGAUAUUGAUAUUCUUUACUAUGAGGUCCUUUCUUCAAAACCGCACACAUAUUUUAUCCACAUUAGUUCACAAAAAAGGGAAAAAAGAAAAAGAAAAAAAGAUCAGCCACACAAAAUCGUUCAUAAACUGCUUAUAGCAGCUGCGCAGGUCAACAACGGUGUUCCAUCCCAAAUAUUUAGUGCAAUUUUCGAUUCUUUACCAUUUGCAAAUGAGUUCAACUACGUCUCUCAAUUUUGCCUUCAUCUCUUUACCAAAUUCUGCACAUUCUUCCAGCAGCCCCACCAUUCUCGUUGCCUAUAUUGACUAACCUUCCCAUUCUUUGAUAUUGAUAUUCUUUACUAUGAGGUCCUUUCUUCAAAACCUCACUCAUAUUUUAUCCACAUUAGUUCACAAAAAAGGGAAAAAAGAAAAAGAAAAAAAGAUCAGCCACACAAAAUCGUCCAUAAACUGCUUAUAGCAGCUGCGCAGGUCAACAACGGUGUUCCAUCACAAAUAUUUAGUGGCAUAUUAAAAAAUUAUAUUAAAAAAUGCAUGGUACGCAGAAGAAAAUGUUUCAGCUUACCUAUUUAGUUAGAAUUUUGCAGCUAAAUUGCAUAUUACGCCCUUGUUUCG